This 277-nucleotide ribosomal RNA is filed under the name uncultured prokaryote. RNAcentral describes it as "partial 16S ribosomal RNA". It matches the Rfam family "Bacterial small subunit ribosomal RNA", at positions 524 to 800 of the family's 1533-position model. The record is from RNAcentral.
UACGUAGGGGGCAAGCGUUAUCCGGAUUUACUGGGUGUAAAGGGAGCGCAGACGGCAGCGCAAGUCUGAUGUGAAAUCCCGGGGCUCAACCCCGGAACUGCAUUGGAAACUGCGCAGCUCGAGUAUCGGAGAGGUAAGCGGAAUUCCUAGUGUAGCGGUGAAAUGCGUAGAUAUUAGGAGGAACACCGGCGGCGAAGGCGGCUUACUGGACGAAGACUGACGUUGAGGCUCGAAAGCGUGGGGAGCAAACAGGAUUAGAUACCCGGGUAGUCCCUGA